RNAcentral lists this ribosomal RNA (492 nucleotides) under uncultured bacterium. Its description in RNAcentral is "partial 16S ribosomal RNA". It matches the Rfam family "Bacterial small subunit ribosomal RNA", at positions 29 to 507 of the family's 1533-position model. The record is from RNAcentral.
AGUGAACGCUGGCGGUAGGCCUAACACAUGCAAGUCGAACGGCAGCACAGUAAGAGCUUGCUCUUACGGGUGGCGGGUGGCGGACGGGUGAGGAAUACAUCGGAAUCUACUUUUUCGUGGGGGAUAAUGUAGGGAAACUUACGCUAAUACCGCAUACGACCUACGGGUGAAAGCAGGGGAUCUUCGGACCUUGCGCGAUUGAAUGAGCCGAUGUCGGAUUAGCUAGUUGGCGGGGUAAAGGCCCACCAAGGCGACGAUCCGUAGCUGGUCUGAGAGGAUGAUCAGCCACACUGGAACUGAGACACGGUCCAGACUCCUACGGGAGGCGGCAGUGGGGAAUAUUGGACAAUGGGCGCAAGCCUGAUCCAGCCAUACCGCGUGGGUGAAGAAGGCCUUCGGGUUGUAAAGCCCUUUUGUUGGGAAAGAAAAGCAGCAGGUUAAUACCCCGCUGUUCUGACGGUACCCAAAGAAUAAGCACCGGCUAACUUCGUG